GCGGCGAGCGAAACGGGAAGAGCCCAAACCAACAAGCUUGCUUGUUGGGGUUGUAGGACACUCUAUACGGAGUUACAAAGGACGACAUUAGACGAAUCAUCUGGAAAGAUGAAUCAAAGAAGGUAAUAAUCCUGUAGUCGAAAAUGUUGUCUCUCUUGAGUGGAUCCUGAGUACGACGGAGCACGUGAAAUUCCGUCGGAAUCUGGGAGGACCAUCUCCUAAGG
This 224-nucleotide ribosomal RNA is filed under the name Staphylococcus aureus. Its description in RNAcentral is "partial 23S ribosomal RNA". It matches the Rfam family "Bacterial large subunit ribosomal RNA", at positions 246 to 465 of the family's 2925-position model. Lineage: Bacteria; Bacillati; Bacillota; Bacilli; Caryophanales; Staphylococcaceae. The record is from RNAcentral.